Molecule: ribosomal RNA, 433 nt
Filed under: uncultured bacterium
Lineage: Bacteria
Description: partial 16S ribosomal RNA
Rfam family: Bacterial small subunit ribosomal RNA
Source: RNAcentral
AACGAACGCUGGCGGCAUGCCUAACACAUGCAAGUCGAACGAGACCUUCGGGUCUAGUGGCGCACGGGUGCGUAACGCGUGGGAACCUGCCCUUAGGUUCGGAAUAACUCCCCGAAAGGGGUGCUAAUACCGGAUAAUGUCCUCGGACCAAAGAUUUAUCGCCUUUGGAUGGGCCCGCGUUGGAUUAGCUAGUUGGUAGGGUAAAAGCCUACCAAGGCGACGAUCCAUAGCUGGUCGGAGAGGAGGAUCAGCCACACUGGGACUGAGACACGGCCCAGACUCCGACGGGAGGGAGCAGUGGGGAAUAUUGGACAAUGGGCGAAAGCCUGAUCCAGCAAUGCCGCGUGAGUGAUGAAGGCCUUAGGGUUGUAAAGCUCUUUUACCCGGGAUGAUAAUGACAGUACCGGGAGAAUAAGCUCCGGCUAACUCCGUG